RNAcentral lists this transfer-messenger RNA (372 nucleotides) under Bacteroidia. RNAcentral's name for it is "RGVD01 sp010027395 Standard tmRNA". It matches the Rfam family "transfer-messenger RNA". From Rfam's summary of the family: Bacterial tmRNA, also known as 10Sa RNA or SsrA, is named for its dual tRNA and mRNA-like properties. Its role is to liberate the mRNA from a stalled ribosome. Lineage: Bacteria; Pseudomonadati; Bacteroidota. The record is from RNAcentral. RNAcentral also lists the same sequence under 1 other name.
GGGGCUGACCGGUAUUGACGGGAUGUGCAAGGGUUAUGUUAGCAUGUCGAGCAUUGGGUAAUUGGCUCGUAAAUAUCAACGCUCAAAAUUUUAUCUGGCGAGUCUAACUUCGCUAUGGCUGCUUAAUCUGGGAUUAAGCAAAUGCCAUUGUCUCGUAACAUGUUAAGUUUUGUUUCGUGUUACAUCAGAGGCAUCAUCAAAACCAAACCUUUGUGGGGUAUGCUUAUGGCCUUAUAGAGUAUAAAUAAGAUAUAAAUAAGUUUGGUACGAAGGGCAACCUGACUUAUUUAGAAAAUUAAUGCCUUUAUAAACAUGUAGAAGGCAUAAUGUUUCCAUCUCCGGACGAGGGUUCGAAUCCCUCCAGCUCCACCA